This 460-nucleotide ribosomal RNA is filed under the name uncultured bacterium. RNAcentral describes it as "partial 16S ribosomal RNA". It matches the Rfam family "Bacterial small subunit ribosomal RNA", at positions 338 to 795 of the family's 1533-position model. The record is from RNAcentral.
CCUACGGGUGGCAGCAGUGAGGAAUAUUGGUCAAUGGACGAGAGUCUGAACCAGCAAAGUAGCGUGAAGGAUUACUGCCCUAUGGGUUGUAAACUUUUUUUAUAAAGGAAUAAAACGUGGCACGUGCUCCUUUUUGCAUGUACUUUAUGAAUAAGCAUCGGCCAACUCCGUGCCAGCAGCCGCGGUAAUACGGAGGAUUCGAGCGUUAUCCGGAUUGAUUGGGUGUAAAGGGAGCGUAGUUGGGUUGAUAAGUCAGUUGUGAAAGUUUGAGGCUCAACCUUAAAAUUGCAAUUGAUACUGGUAGUCUUGAGUACAGUUGAGGGAAGCGGAAUUCGUGGUGUAGCGGUGGAAUGCUUAGAUAUCACGAAGAACCCCGAUUGCGAAGGCAGCUUACUAAACUGUGACUGACAUUGAUGCUCGAAAGCGUGGGGAGCAAACAGGAUUAGAUACCCGAGUAGUC